AUGGAUAAUAACGUAAUUUACUUUAUUUAGGGCGUUGUUUAAUUCGAAAAGUAGGGCGUCAAAUAGGGAUUCAGUUUAACAACUACAGUUUAGCAACACAAUAAAAUAGCUCGAUUGAGUAUGCCUCUCAACACGAUGGUCACUGCCUGACCUUCUCGGAUUGUCAGGGGUCGGGUAAUAAAAAAUUAAGCGAAUCUUUGGUAGUGCCGCGAUCAUUACUUCGUGUGAAUCAAAAGCCUGCGAUUCAAUUUAUCCCCGGAAAAGAAAUGUUCGAGCCGAUUGGCUGGUGAAGGAGUUUAUCCAUAAUAGACUACCACCUGAGCGGAUCCAAAGGGCUAAUGCAAUCCCUUGUCUUCUGUAAUCUUUGCUUUCGUUAUAGUCGGAUUAUGAAGCUUAAUCAUAGAUUUUAAAUUUUUCUUUUUUUCUAUGUUAUUAUAUUUUGCAGUGUUGUUAUGAUCGGAUCGGUCGGUAAAAAGUAUUUAUUAGGUUGGUUAAUAUCAAUGAAUUGAACUAUUAAAACCUUUAAAGCAUGUUUUAUUAUUGAUGGAGGUUUUCGGAGAUUCAUUGAUUUAACUUAAAGUGAAAAGAAUUGCUUUUUUUAUAGUUUA
This 608-nucleotide long non-coding RNA is filed under the name Linum usitatissimum (flax). RNAcentral's name for it is "long non-coding RNA (LUSI_LNC003625)". The record is from RNAcentral. Lineage: Eukaryota; Viridiplantae; Streptophyta; Magnoliopsida; Malpighiales; Linaceae.